Long non-coding RNA from Solanum lycopersicum (tomato), 438 nucleotides. RefSeq lists it as uncharacterized. The record is from RefSeq and is a predicted model, not a curated record. Lineage: Eukaryota; Viridiplantae; Streptophyta; Magnoliopsida; Solanales; Solanaceae.
CACCCCCACCCACUUUUAAUAAAACUCGUAUCCUCUCUAUCAUUUUUUUCUAUGUGAAAGCUCGUAAAUCCAAAAUAAUGGACUCUUUCAUAUUCUCUCUCAAGAUGUGGAAUCUCAAUCAAAAUCUACGUAAGGUGCUUGAAGAUACACACUUUGGCUGAAAAGAUAUAUUUAUUUUAACAGGUCGAAGGCAGGUGUAAGUCUAGAAGGCAAACCUAAGGAAGUUUACUCUCUCAAGACUCAGCAUGUCCUCAUAUAUUUGAAAACAAAGUUUAUGUUUCUUUAGUUUCUUCUAUGAAGACUUGUAUAAGACAAUGAUGUAUUUCCUUUCAAUGUAAUGUGUGUUCUUAAGAUAUUUAAGAUGUAUGUUUAAGUUGUCUUUUAACUAUGAGACUUAGUCCUUUGUAUUCUAUAAAGGAUAUUUCUUAUUAUUAUUAA